UACAGAGGGGGCAAGCGUUGUUCGGAAUUACUGGGCGUAAAGGGCGCGUAGGCGGUCCUGUAAGUCCCGCGUGAAAUCCCCCGGCUCAACUGGGGAACUGCGCGGGAAACUGUGGGGCUUGAGUUCGGGAGAGGGAAGCGGAAUUCCGGGUGUAGCGGUGAAAUGCGUAGAUAUCCGGAGGAACACCGGUGGCGAAGGCGGCUUCCUGGACCGACACUGACGCUGAGGCGCGAAAGCUAGGGGAGCAAACGGG
Molecule: ribosomal RNA, 253 nt
Filed under: uncultured bacterium
Lineage: Bacteria
Description: partial 16S ribosomal RNA
Rfam family: Bacterial small subunit ribosomal RNA
Source: RNAcentral